GUGGGAGUUAAAAAGUUCGAUCGACCGUCUAUCAUUGAAUCAGAUUGGUUCGCAACAUUUGAGCGAUGUGCCAUCCACAUUCAAGCUAAAAGUAGCUUUGAUACCGGUUUAGCAGUCAAUUGUAUGGACUACAAUUGCGAAUGUUAAGAUGGCAAUUGUGCCAAUGACCACGAGGAUCUGCUGAACGAGGUACCAAAAUGUUUUUUAUCUAAAAGAAAAAAAUGCAUUGAAGACAGUAAGAAAAAGGAAGUUUAGUUCUUAAAACGAAUAUAAUUAAAAUAUUACCUGCCAAAAGUCAUAAGUUGGGUUGACAAAGAAAACUGGUGUAUUUAUGCUUUUCACAAAAUUUUGAGGAAAGAAACACUGGGUUGCAGUAAAUACAGCAAUUAGUUAGUAAUGCAGAACAAAUUUAACAUGAUAAAAUAUUAAGAUGUAACUUAUUAUUUAAGGAAAAAAGAUCCUUUCAGGAAUUAAAAUAAAAGGGCACCUUGGAUGGUUCCAUUUUGGCUACACAAUCCUGUUUUAAGCUUCCUGCUGUACCCUAAUAUCAUCAUACAUGCAGAAUAAUUUAACAAAAUACCACCUAAUUAGCACAAAUUUUCAAGUUGUCUGAUGGGCAUUCAUAUACCUAUUGAUAACUUAUAAUUACCGACACUAACGCGAGACCUUAUAUCAUCCUAUUAGUGAGAAGACUAUAAAAAGUAGAUCCUAAACAUGCCUUAGAUCUUUCAAGAAUUGUGCUAUGUUAUUUAAUAAAAUGACAAACCUGAAGAUGGACAACAUCAUGGUAAAAUGACUGGAUGGUGGCAUUACCAGCAACAUCUUGCCUACAACCAAGGAAAAUUGAUGUAAAACUUCUCAAUAUUUCAAGAAAAUAGCAAAUAAUAUAUGUAUGAUGCGCUUCUAUUUUUCAGGUAUUAAAUAUUUAUAUGCAUCAGGUACACUUAAAGAAACAUAAAACAGCAUUCCUUUGGUUGGCAAUAAAAAAAUCAAAAGAUGUUGAUAUGCAUUAUCUUGGUCCCCCCACCCCUCCCCCUGCAAAUUAUAUAUCUAUGUGCAUGUUUAUACAUACACGCACAUAUACAUAUAUUAAUAUAUAUGUUCCAUACAUAUUACGCACACUGCACAGGCGUAUGCAGUAUGCACACUGAUGAAGUGAUCAGAUAAUGGUUAUUGCAGAAGAACAUACUCAUUAAGAAAGAAACCUGCAUCAGAUAAACAUUUGACUCUGGCAUCUUUCGGCAAAAUUUCUCUGAAAUCAUCACAGUGGAUGAGUGUUGCAAGUCCUCCAGCUGAACAUCCAGAAAGAAGUGCCUGUCAAAUUAUUUUAAACUUUCAAGUAAAAUAUAUCUACUUACACUUAUCGUAUAAUACAGAAUCUAGAAUAAUCUGCAGUCAGAAUGAUAUAAAUAGUUAAACUUGUCUUUUCACGUUUGCUGAUAGCUUUAGUAGUUUAAAUACAUGAAUGACCUUGAUGAAAAAAGUUACUUUAUCCAUAAAAAGUUUAAAAAAUGUACCUCUUGAGCAUUAGAUAAUCCAAUUGACAAGAGCUCAUCCAUCAUUGCUUCCCAUAUGAGUUGACCUCUGAAGAAAAGUUUAGUAUCAUUCUGUUGCAUUAUUGAAACAGGUAAAACAGUUGUUUAUACUAAACCGGCAUACUUGAAAAAAAAUUCACAAUU
Molecule: long non-coding RNA, 1679 nt
Filed under: Helianthus annuus (common sunflower)
Lineage: Eukaryota; Viridiplantae; Streptophyta; Magnoliopsida; Asterales; Asteraceae
Description: hypothetical non coding rna
Source: RNAcentral